Molecule: small nuclear RNA, 132 nt
Organism: Otolemur garnettii (small-eared galago)
Lineage: Eukaryota; Metazoa; Chordata; Mammalia; Primates; Galagidae
Gene: U4
Rfam family: U4 spliceosomal RNA
About the family: U4 small nuclear RNA (U4 snRNA) is a component of the major U2-dependent spliceosome. The structure of U4 snRNA from yeast and human has been reported. U4 snRNA presents a k-turn RNA motif in the 5p-SL related to recognition of Snu13 protein.
Source: Ensembl
AGCUUUGCACAGUGACAGCAUCAUUGCCAAUGAGGUUUGUCUAAGGUGUGAUUAUUGCUAAUCAAAAACCUUUUUCUAAUACCUUGUCAUGACAACUUAAAAUAUACUCUGAAUUUUCAGUCUUUAUGAAGA